This 301-nucleotide ribosomal RNA is filed under the name uncultured bacterium. RNAcentral's name for it is "partial 16S ribosomal RNA". It matches the Rfam family "Bacterial small subunit ribosomal RNA", at positions 509 to 807 of the family's 1533-position model. The record is from RNAcentral.
CAGCCGCCGCGGUAAUACGUAGGGUGCGAGCGUUAAUCGGAAUUACUGGGCGUAAAGCGUGCGCAGGCGGUUUUGUAAGACAGGCGUGAAAUCCCCGGGCUCAACCUGGGAAUGGCGCUUGUGACUGCAAAGCUAGAGUGCGGCAGAGGGGGAUGGAAUUCCGCGUGUAGCAGUGAAAUGCGUAGAUAUGCGGAGGAACACCGAUGGCGAAGGCAAUCCCCUGGGCCUGCACUGACGCUCAUGCACGAAAGCGUGGGGAGCAAACAGGAUUAGAUACCCGAGUAGUCCCUGUCUCUUAUAC